RNAcentral lists this ribosomal RNA (305 nucleotides) under uncultured bacterium. RNAcentral's name for it is "bacterial SSU rRNA". It matches the Rfam family "Bacterial small subunit ribosomal RNA", at positions 335 to 638 of the family's 1533-position model. The record is from RNAcentral.
UUGCCUACGGGAGGCAGCAGUGAGGAAUAUUGGUCAAUGGGCGGGAGCCUGAACCAGCCAAGCCGCGUGAAGGAAGAAGGCGCCAGGCGUCGUAAACUUCUUUUGUCGGGGAACAAAGGGCGCCACGUGUGGCGUUGUGAGUGUACCCGAAGAAAAAGCAUCGGCUAACUCCGUGCCAGCAGCCGCGGUAAUACGGAGGAUGCGAGCGUUAUCCGGAUUUAUUGGGUUUAAAGGGUGCGUAGGCGGAAUGCCAAGUCAGCGGUAAAAUCGCGGGGCUCAACCUCGCUCCGCCGUUGAAACUGGCG